GAUGAACGCUGGCGGCGUGCCUAAUACAUGCAAGUCGAGCGAACGGACGAGAAGCUUGCUUCUCUGAUGUUAGCGGCGGACGGGUGAGUAACACGUGGAUAACCUACCUAUAAGACUGGGAUAACUUCGGGAAACCGGAGCUAAUACCGGAUAAUAUUUUGAACCGCAUGGUUCAAAAGUGAAAGACGGUCUUGCUGUCACUUAUAGAUGGAUCCGCGCUGCAUUAGCUAGUUGGUAAGGUAACGGCUUACCAAGGCAACGAUGCAUAGCCGACCUGAGAGGGUGAUAGGCCACACUGGAACUGAGACACGGUCCAGACUCCUACGGGAGGCAGCAGUAGGGAAUCUUCCGCACUGGGCGAAAGCCUGACGGAGCAACGCCGCGUGAGUGAUGAAGGUCUUCGGAUCGUAAAACUCUGUUAUUAGGGAAGAACAUAUGUGUAAGUAACUGUGCACAUCUUGACGGUACCUAAUCAGAAAGCCACGGCUGACUACGUG
Molecule: ribosomal RNA, 497 nt
Filed under: uncultured bacterium
Lineage: Bacteria
Description: partial 16S ribosomal RNA
Rfam family: Bacterial small subunit ribosomal RNA
Source: RNAcentral